This 2666-nucleotide long non-coding RNA is filed under the name Androctonus crassicauda. Lineage: Eukaryota; Metazoa; Arthropoda; Arachnida; Scorpiones; Buthidae. The record is from RNAcentral.
UUUUUUUGUGGAAAUUUUAGUAUCGGAAUUAAGUAAUAUAUUUUAAAAAUUUUAUUAUUGUUCUUUUAAUGUGAUUUUCUGCAAUUUCGCAUUAUUCUGACAUUGAAAGGAUUAUGAGAAUAACGACUUUUGUCAUCUAUUCCAUUAUCUAUCGUCGUACUUUCCUAGAAAAAUGAGAAUAAGUCGUAUCGCUUCGGACGUUAAUUAAUGCCUAUUAUCGAUCGGUUAUGGGGUCUAAAAUCUAUAAAUAUAUGUGCGGUAGAGUUCUCUUAAGAUAGCAACAUUAAAAUCCUCUUCGAUUAAGGAAGAGAAGGUAAAAAAAAAAGAAAAAAAAACGGCGUGGUUUCGGGAUGAAUCAGUUGCGACGGUUGUAAUGUUUAAUCAAGACGAUUAUAGUUUGUAGAGAAGAUGGACAACCCCAGAAAGAUUUGCAGGAAUGCCGAAUUUCUGCAGCGAGUAACAAAAACGUUUAAGGCGAUUAAACAGCGUCGUUAAUGUCCCUGUUCGCCUAGAAGUCUCACCUGCGACUGUGGAUUGCAAAGAAGUCGGAGCCGUGACGCCAAUAAUUACAUUCGAGGUUUUGUCGGGAUGAAUAUGGGGGACGAAGGGAGAGAGAUAGUCAGUGCGAGGAAACAAAAGUUGUAGCGAGAAAUAUGCAGUCGUGAGAAUUACAACCAUCGCGAGCAAUAUUAUAGACCCGGCAGCGACCUACCCUCGCAACAAUGUAAAGCUGUUACGUACCUCUCCGUAUGAGGAAUGGUGCGCACGUGUUUUUAAUUAAAUGGAUCCUCUGCAUUCUUGCCUCUGCACAUUCCGUCUCAAGUCGCCGAGGAUAUUGCAGUAAAGUAAAGAAACUAUGUUAUAGUGCAGUUUUAAACAUUUGUUGUGCCGCUAGUCUUAAAAGAGGACUUUAUGACACUUCGGUCGCAGAUGGUUUUCGGUCGUCUUAUUGGGACCGGUGUAAGAGUCGAGUCAGAUCAGCUACGGGCGAUUUAACACCAAAAGGACCCUUAGGGGUGGGUGGGAAAUAAAGGGGCAAUACCAGGACGAUGGUUAAUGAAAUUCUGUAAGCCAUGCACAUGACAAUAUAAUUCCUCAUUUUUCCGACUGAGCUCUUUUAAACGGAAUGAAAAACUGUGCAGCGGUGCAGAAACAUCGAGUUACCAGUUAACGGAAAUCUGGAAAACGUGUUUGUCUGUCAACCUCGACUUAGACAAUGAAGGUGAGAUACCUGGAGAAUUAGAUACGCGUUUCUAAUUUGGUCAUUUCGGGGAUAGGAUGACGGGUCAAAGCGAGCGCUUAUAAAAAAAAUAAAAAUAUAAAAAUGCAAAGGCAUCCGUGGCUGUUUACGUCUACAAAACUAUUAAGUAGAGCCCUUAAUAGUGUGUCACGGACUCAAAAAACUUUCGUUCUUAAACCGGCUCUCUUCUUUCACUUCUUCUUCUUCCAACAACUUUCUUUUUUUUUCGCAAUGUAAAUCGGUCGACAAUGUGGACAUUUAGGUGAAGGUUAGGCAGGAGAAUUCCAUCAGUGCUGUAGUAUAACGUUUGCUUACUAAUCAACCAUCUACACACUAAUGUGGUGCAUCCCGACCACAUCAAAGAAGAGUGUCCGCAAGGUUUAGUGCAAUUUCGUGAUUCGUUCCCCCCACCCUUUAUUGUCCUGUGUGUAGCUUAUUGUAGGUGGAACAUGUCAGGUGUUGCCCCGGGCCCUCAGUAACAAUAGGCUGCUCACUACCGACUUUUACCUGGGGCCAAGUCGUUAUGAAAACCUGAUGUAUUGGGUAAACGUGGAGACGGCUUGUUUUAAUCAUACUCGCUCCUCUCUCGCUCUCUCUCUCUCCGACGGCGGGCUGGGUUAGAAGAAGAAAGAAUAAAAAACUGCGGCGUUCUGGUAAUUAGAACACAACGGGCCAAACAGACCCAAUCCCCAGGGCAGAAUUAGAGAACAUUAGCUCUAGUAUCGGGCAGUGUGUCAGAGAUAUUUCCCUCGAGGUGGUCGCUUUUAUUGAUCGAAACUACCGAUGGCCGUCUACAAUGAUUGGGAGUCGGCAGUCUUCCUUUCCCUCCACCAGAAAAAAAAUAAAAUAAAAAAAGAUCCUCUCCCGUUUUGUGUGCGGCCUCAUUGCAAAUCAUUCUGACAUCUAAAGCGGGGGAGAUGGAGUGCGGCCGGGUAUAUAGCCUAAAACAAUUUAAACAGGUUUAACCAAACACUUCUGCCAGCGCCUUGCCACCUCUAAAAACCUUCGUUUUAAUAAGUGCGUUGCCUUUCUAAAGCGCACUAUCUGUCAAUCAUAGCUGUUCUUUUUUUCGCUUUCACUAGAAAUUCCUUUUCAACGCACGAGGUCAACCGAUUUCGUUUCAAACCAACCAUAAGGGAAGACCUACUUUUCCCAUUCUUCGCCAUGUGUGACGUUGUACCUAUAAACCCACUAUCAAUUGACAGUGGGAUAAAAUAAAAAAAUAAAAAAAAGAGGAGGAAUUCGUCAACAUCCGUCAUUCGUAGAUUAAAGUAAAAAAAAAAAAAGGAAAAUUAAAGAUAACAUUUAUUUAAUUAUCGUAACAACGUCCUCGCUACGUAUUCUAUGAAUACGUAGAGAGAGAGAGAGAGAGAGAGAGAGAGAGAGAGAGGACGUUAAUCUUUUAAAGACCCGCGUGUAAUUUAUA